GCGGCGAUGGUCUAGUGGUAUCCUGUCCAACGAAAGUUGGAUGGCGCCAAAUUGAUUCCAGCCUUCCAAGUUGGUAGCCCGGGUUCGAUUCCCGGUCGCCGCA
Molecule: transfer RNA, 103 nt
Filed under: Microcaldota archaeon
Lineage: Archaea; Nanobdellati; Microcaldota
Description: tRNA-Gly
Rfam family: tRNA
About the family: Transfer RNA (tRNA) molecules are approximately 80 nucleotides in length. Their secondary structure includes four short double-helical elements and three loops (D, anti-codon, and T loops).
Source: RNAcentral